Mycena galericulata is the source of this 104-nucleotide non-coding RNA. The record is from the annotation of a GenBank genome assembly. Lineage: Eukaryota; Fungi; Basidiomycota; Agaricomycetes; Agaricales; Mycenaceae.
UCCGAAUUGGUGUAGUGGUUCAACAUUGCCGCCUCUCAUUUCGUUACGUAAUUCAUGUGGCGUGACUUUCGCGGCAGCCAGGGGUUCGAUUCCCCUAUUCGGAA